UAAUGUUUAUACUUCCUUUGUAAAGUAAAAUUUGCAAUAAUUUCUCAUCUCCUCCUCUGUUAAUAGCUUGCUUGACUGUGCAGGAGCCUUCUUUAGAUAUUUAAAAUUUAAUUUAAAGAGCAGGAGAUAAACUUUUCAAAUAAGUUACAUUUGAUUGAAAAGGAAACCAUUUCUCCCCCCCACCCCAUGCAGCCAGGGAAGGUGUGGCAAGGGCUGAAUAAACAAACAAAAUGAAUGGCAGAGACUUGAGCAGUGAGACUUCAGAGGAAUGAUCUUUACACCAAAACUGCUUCAUUAAGCUAAAGUUAUUUUGGUGAAUACAGUGUCC
Pelobates cultripes (western spadefoot toad) is the source of this 328-nucleotide non-coding RNA. Lineage: Eukaryota; Metazoa; Chordata; Amphibia; Anura; Pelobatidae. The record is from the annotation of a GenBank genome assembly.